RNAcentral lists this transfer RNA (74 nucleotides) under Marmota monax (woodchuck). RNAcentral's name for it is "tRNA.Glu". Lineage: Eukaryota; Metazoa; Chordata; Mammalia; Rodentia; Sciuridae. The record is from RNAcentral.
UAAGGAUUACAGCUCAGUGGUAAAGUUCCUGCCUUUCUUGCAUGAAGCCCUGGAUUCAAUUCCCAGUACCUCAA